CUGAUGGAAGAGGCGCCUCAAGGCUGAGGGUUUCCAGUACCGAGGAGCCGCCCUGGCAGCCCUGGCUCGGAGGGAGAAGGCCCUGCCCCUUCCGGACCCGACAGAUGCCUAAGAAAAUCUCAACUUUAGAAUAAGGCAACAACUAAUAGCACUUGUUGAAUUGCUGUUAAAAAGAAUCACAGGUACUGGCAAUAUAGUAGUGAACAAAACAGAAAACAAGUCUUGCCUGUGUGGAGCUUAUAUUAUUAAGGAUGGAGAGAGACAGCACAAACAUUUAGUGUGUGGCAACUACCCAACUUCAACCAUGGGGACGAAGAGGAUGAUCUAAGGGAUGGCAGUGUGACAAAGGGAAGGAUCCCUGAAUACCAGCCUGACUGCCCAACGCAAGGAUUAUGCGUUUUGCACAAAGCAUCCUGAAGGUGUGUCUUGCUGGUGGUGAAAAAAUAAAGCAUCUCUCAGAAAGAGCCAACCAAAGGUCAGGCUUUUGAGAAAACCUGGUUCAUUUGGGUUGGGAGAAAACUUUGGACCUUCUACUUAUUACACAUUUUCAACGGCUAAUGUCUUCAAAUCAUAUAUGACAUUCCCUAUGUGAUAAGAAGCUUCCUGCCUCUUUUCUAAGAAGAAAACAUCUUUCACAGCUGCUAGAAUGCCUACAUUUACCUCCAAACUCCAGGCAUCGACACAAGUUUGAAUCCUACUUCUGUAAAAAUAAAUCUGGUUUAAAGGGUUUACAAUGUGGCCUUGAGGCUCAACCUGGUUUGAGCCAGCCUCUGCGUCCAUCACCUUGGGAAAUGGGAAUCACAUCCUCUGAACCCCACAUCAGGACAAGUGGCCACAUA
Lagenorhynchus albirostris (white-beaked dolphin) is the source of this 839-nucleotide long non-coding RNA. RefSeq lists it as uncharacterized. The record is from RefSeq and is a predicted model, not a curated record. Lineage: Eukaryota; Metazoa; Chordata; Mammalia; Artiodactyla; Delphinidae. The transcript is spliced from 5 exons.